GACGAACGCUGGCGGCGUGCUUAACACAUGCAAGUCGAACGGAGCGAAUGAAAGCUUGCUUUUAUAAGCUUAGUGGCAAACGGGUGAGUAACACGUAGGCAACCUGCCGACAGGAUGGGGACAACAUUCCGAAAGGAAUGCUAAUACCGAAUGAAGUCAGAGAAGGGCAUCCUUUUCUGAUGAAAGAUGGCCUCUAUAUAUAAGCUAUCACCUGUCGAUGGGCCUGCGUCUGAUUAGCUGGUAGGUGAGGUAACGGCUCACCUAGGCGACGAUCAGUAGCCGGUCUGAGAGGAUGAACGGCCACAUUGGGACUGAGACACGGCCCAGACCCUACGGGAGGCAGCAGUGGGGAAUCUUCCGCAAUGGGCGCAAGCCUGACGGAGCAACGCCGCGUGAGUGAAGAAGGUCUUCGGAUCGUAAAGCUCUGUUGAUGGGGACGAACGUGCCUAAUGCGAAUAGUAUUAGGU
RNAcentral lists this ribosomal RNA (467 nucleotides) under Selenomonas sp. oral taxon 140. Its description in RNAcentral is "bacterial SSU rRNA". It matches the Rfam family "Bacterial small subunit ribosomal RNA", at positions 28 to 473 of the family's 1533-position model. Lineage: Bacteria; Bacillati; Bacillota; Negativicutes; Selenomonadales; Selenomonadaceae. The record is from RNAcentral.